RNAcentral lists this ribosomal RNA (386 nucleotides) under uncultured bacterium. RNAcentral describes it as "bacterial SSU rRNA". It matches the Rfam family "Bacterial small subunit ribosomal RNA", at positions 553 to 938 of the family's 1533-position model. The record is from RNAcentral.
ACUGGGCGUAAAGCGCACGCAGGCGGUUUGUUAAGUCAGAUGUGAAAUCCCCGCGCUUAACGUGGGAACUGCAUUUGAAACUGGCAAGCUAGAGUCUUGUAGAGGGGGGUGGAAUUCCAGGUGUAGCGGUGAAAUGCGUAGAGAUCUGGAGGAAUACCGGUGGCGAAGGCGGCCCCCUGGACAAAGACUGACGCUCAGGUGCGAAAGCGUGGGGAGCAAACAGGAUUAGAUACCCUGGUAGUCCACGCUGUAAACGAUGUCGACUUGGAGGUUGUGGUCUUGAACCGUGGCUUCCGGAGCUAACGCGUUAAGUCGACCGCCUGGGGAGUACGGCCGCAAGGUUAAAACUCAAAUGAAUUGACGGGGGCCCGCACAAGCGGUAAUCG